ACAGGGAUUGCCUCAGUAACGGCGAGUGAAGCGGCAACAGCUCAAAUUUGAAAUCUGGCCCUCGGGUCCGAGUUGUAAUUUGUAGAGGAUGCUUUUGGCGCGGUGCCUUCUGAGUUCCCUGGAAUGGGACGCCAGAGAGGGUGAGAGCCCCGUAUAGUCGGACACCAAGCCUCUGUAAAGCUCCUUCGACGAGUCGAGUAGUUUGGGAAUGCUGCUCAAAAUGGGAGGUAAAUUUCUUCUAAAGCUAAAUACCGGCCAGAGACCGAUAGCGCACAAGUAGAGUGAUCGAAAGAUGAAAAGCACUUUGAAAAGAGGGUUAAACAGUACGUGAAAUUGUUGAAAGGGAAGCGCUCAUGACCAGACUUGCGCCCGGCGGAUCAUCCAGCGUUCUCGCUGGUGCACUCCGCCGGGCUCAGGCCAGCAUCGGUUCCGGUGGGGGGAUAAAAGUCGUGGGAAUGUGACUCCUCCGGGAGUGUUAUAGCCCGCUUCAUAAUGCCCUCGCCGAGACCGAGGUACGCGCUCCGCAAGGAUGCUGGCGUAAUGGUUAUCAGCGACCCG
This 558-nucleotide ribosomal RNA is filed under the name uncultured fungus. RNAcentral's name for it is "eukaryotic LSU rRNA". It matches the Rfam family "Eukaryotic large subunit ribosomal RNA", at positions 68 to 651 of the family's 3401-position model. The record is from RNAcentral. Lineage: Eukaryota; Fungi.